GAUGAACGCUGGCGGCGUGCCUAAUACAUGCAAGUCGAGCGAACAGACGAGGAGCUUGCUCCUCUGACGUUAGCGGCGGACGGGUGAGUAAAACGUGGAUAACCUACCUUUAAGACUGGGAUAACUUCGGGAAACCGGAGCUAAUACCGGAUAAUAUAUUGAACCGCAUGGUUCAAUAGUGAAAGACGGUUUUGCUGGUUCUUAUAGAUGGAUCCGCGCCGCAUUAGCUAGUUGGUAAGGUAACGGCUUACCAAGGCAACGAUGCGUAGCCGACCUGAGAGGGUGAUCGGCCACACUGGAACUGAGACACGGUCCAGACUCCUACGGGAGGCAGCAGUAGGGAAUCUUCCGCAAUGGGCGAAAGCCUGACGGAGCAACGCCGCGUGAGUGAUGAAGGUCUUCGGAUCGUAAAACUCUGUUAUUAGGGAAGAACAAAUGUGUAAGUAACUAUGCACGUCUUGACGGUACCUAAUCAGAAAGCCACGGCUAACUACGUG
This 497-nucleotide ribosomal RNA is filed under the name uncultured bacterium. RNAcentral describes it as "partial 16S ribosomal RNA". It matches the Rfam family "Bacterial small subunit ribosomal RNA", at positions 28 to 507 of the family's 1533-position model. The record is from RNAcentral.